CUGCUGACUACUGAGCAUUGUUCAAACUGCAUUUGAGGCAUCUUUGAUACCUUCUAGAAGGCUAAUUAAGCUGCUUAGAGACAAACUUCGAAGGAGGUGUGAACAUUACUGGGUGAGAAGAAUAUUUGAACCUGGGUGUGUUCAGUAGCAGAGGACCUCCAGGUGUCCUUAUGAGAGGUAUGCUUAGUAUGACUAGCCAAGAGGUAAGUCUCUUCUUUGAACCGAGCCUGUUAAGUGGCAGAAGUCAUCCCCCAUGGCAACAGUUUCCAGGGGAUCUUUCCAGAACUGCAAAGAGGCUCUGAUUUUGUUAUUGACAGAUCCAGAUCCUCCGUUUUUAUUAACAUUGUGCUCAUAUUGUAUUUUUUUUUCCUGCAAUUUGUCAUAGUUAGAAAGAAAGAAAUCCUCUGCAUUCUGAUACUUUUCUUAGAUUCCUGCCAUCUUUGCAGAGCUUAUUGAUAUGGAUCAGUUGAAGUCCCAUUGUGGUAUUGAACUUCUCACUCCCUGAUUGGAGUAAUUUAAGAGCCUCAACGUUUGUAGGAAAAUUUCCUGAGGAAACUGACCAGAGAUAUGAACAUAAAUUGUCAUUUGUUUAUAAUCAAAUUCAUUCCUCUUUAAUACAUUUUGUAUUGGAAGCUGCCAAAUCUAGCCUCAGCUUUCUGUUCCGCCUGCAACCUGGACACAGAAGCAUCCCAUUCAUACAUCCCUUCUAGUGAUAGAUUCCUCGCCAGGAACUCCCAGAGUGCACUGCCAUCUGCUCAGCUCUCAGUGGCUCGAACCCACCCUGCUUCCUAAAUUAAUGCUAAAAGCCAUUUUCUGAAGUCUUUUAGGCCACUGCUAACUCCAGCCUCAUUUCAGGUAUCAGGAUCCAUCCACUAUUCUCUAAGAAGAAACAACAGCAACAAAGCCAGGAAAUCAAACCUACCUAUGUAAGUGGAUGGCCCAAAUCA
This 947-nucleotide long non-coding RNA is filed under the name Marmota monax (woodchuck). The record is from RNAcentral. Lineage: Eukaryota; Metazoa; Chordata; Mammalia; Rodentia; Sciuridae.